AUUGAACGCUGGCGGCAUGCUUUACACAUGCAAGUCGAACGGCAGCGCGGGCUUCGGCCUGGCGGCGAGUGGCGAACGGGUGAGUAAUGCAUCGGAACGUGCCCAGUAGUGGGGGAUAGCCCGGCGAAAGCCGGAUUAAUACCGCAUACGACCUGAGGGUGAAAGCGGGGGACCGAAAGGCCUCGCGCUAUUGGAGCGGCCGGUGUCGGAUUAGCUAGUUGGUGGGGUAAAGGCUUACCAAGGCGACGAUCCGUAGCUGGUCUGAGAGGACGACCAGCCACACUGGGACUGAGACACGGCCCAGACUCCUACGGGAGGCAGCAGUGGGGAAUUUUGGACAAUGGGGGCAACCCUGAUCCAGCCAUGCCGCGUGCGGGAAGAAGGCCUUCGGGUUGUAAACCGCUUUUGUUCGGGAAGAAAUACUCUGGGCUAAUACCCCGGGGGGAUGACGGUACCGGAAGAAUAAGCACCGGCUAACUACGUG
RNAcentral lists this ribosomal RNA (484 nucleotides) under uncultured bacterium. RNAcentral describes it as "partial 16S ribosomal RNA". It matches the Rfam family "Bacterial small subunit ribosomal RNA", at positions 28 to 507 of the family's 1533-position model. The record is from RNAcentral.